GACGAACUGUCCUAACGUUGUUCGGAAUCACUGGGCUUAAAGGGCGCGUAGGCGGUCCGACAAGUCAGGGGUGAAAUCCUGCAGCUUAACUGCAGAAGUGCCUUUGAUACUGUCGGUCUUGAGGGAGAUAGGGGUGUGCGGAACUCACAGUGGAGCGGUGAAAUGCGUUGAUAUUGUGAGGAACGCCGGAGGCGAAAGCGGCGCACUGGAUCUCUUCUGACGCUGAGGCGCGAAAGCUAGGGGAGCAACGGG
This 252-nucleotide ribosomal RNA is filed under the name uncultured bacterium. Its description in RNAcentral is "partial 16S ribosomal RNA". It matches the Rfam family "Bacterial small subunit ribosomal RNA", at positions 524 to 775 of the family's 1533-position model. The record is from RNAcentral.